AUAUUUUAAAGCUAGAUUGUCAUCCCUUCCAAGCUCUGUCCUUAUUAAAAAAAAAAAAAAAAAAAAAACCAACAACUAUACAACAAUUUGAAAAAAGAAAAAAACUAAAACAGAACAAUAUACUUCACUGUUAGAAUUCUAACAAAGAUGAUCUAAUCACAGGGACAGAUCUUUCUUGGUAACAGUGUUUUUACUUGGGUCAGGACAUGUAUAGCCCUGUUAUAUCCAAUCACCUUGAACACAGGGAAGGGAAAGGCACUAAAUCCAAAUCCAAUCUCUACUGGAAGUAAGUAAAGAAUAGGAGGCAUAGAGAGUCAAAACUCAGUUCUUUAAUUUCUCAUUCUUCAAUACCGAACUCUGGCAGCCUACUUGGAUUUUUGCCAGAAGCUUUCCAUAUGCUUGUUUUACUGGUCCACUCCUCUUGCCAUCUGAAGUUUAGAAAGGUAAACAGUUUCCAAUAAACCCUUCUUGACUACCACACAAUUAUUUUGUCUACUCUGAGUUGUGGGAUUGGUAUAUCUUCAUAUGAUUUCUUGCUUUAAAAUAUCUUUCAUGGUGAGGAGAAUUAGAGUGCCUUUCUUAACAUUUCCAAGUGCAAUUCACAUUAGUAUUUGAUAACAUUUUUGGAUGUACAGAAGGUUUCUCUUUAGUUUAUUUCAAGCCAAAAUUUUAACAGCGCACCUGCAAUCUGAAUGUUUUGAGACUGUAUCUGAUUUUCCAAGAGUAGUAAAUACUUUCUGUUCUUAUGCAAUGCACUGUACAUCAGUCUUGCACCAAUCUUGUAUCAGCUUGGCAAGUAAAAUUUUCUAGGGUGACAUUUUCAGCAUUCUGUAUCUGCUCAAUUGGGACCACGGACAGCUCAGUGCUGACAGGGACCGGGGGGAGCAAGAGAGAGCUCCUAGCUGGCUGCUGGGACUAAAUAAGGACUGAAUUCAGGGAGGGCUACAGGAAGACAGUGUCUCCAGGGAGGAAGUCCUGGGUGUACAGCCUCAUACCAGGGCCAGAACAAGUUAAAGACUGUAUACCCCAGAAGGGGUUUUGUUCUGUUUCAAAUACAGACAGUGUGAGAGAGUCAGACAGAGGGCUGAGUCACUGAAAAGCCACCCAAGAAACCACAAACAGGGGUCACGACAAACAGAGACUGCAGGCACACACACUUGACCAGGGGGCACUCACGAGAGAUGGGUUCCGCCCUGUUAAAAUAAAGGACUAAAUCUCCUAAAAAGAGCCUUUAUUUUAUAAUAAAGGAACAAUAAAUCUUUUCCCUGCAUCUGAGAAAGAAAAUAAUCUAGAAAUGAAAAGGUGAAAACAACAAAGCAAACAGUGAGAGUGCCCUAGUUACAAUUUCUAAUGACUUCUUGAGAGAGACUGAAAGAAGGAACUUUUUCCACUUUGAAUAGGUUGUGAUGAUCCUGAUAAACAGAGAGAGGGCUAUUAAAACUUCCCUUGACCCAUAUGGGACAAUGGCCAGUCAUGCUGUAAUGAGAUAAGUGAUGAAUAACUGCAUACCUGCAAAAAGCAUUUGCAGAUUCAUAACAUUAAGUUUCUAUGAACUUAUGGAAAAGAUGGGGGAAGUUAUAUGCCAAGGACCCUGCAUUAUUUGUGUCCCUGAACUGUUUUCCACCUGUACUUGGUGGUUACUGACCAGAGUACAGGUGGAAAACAGUUUUCACUACAUUAACAAUGGUGCAACAGGGAAACAGAAUAUAAAAUUAAAUUGGUCGAGGCUUUGGUCUAGUUCUUCAGUAAUAAGAUUAAAGAAAAUUUACAAAAGGAUUGAACUCCUAAUACACUUGGGAAAUACUGUGUAGUGCAGCAUGCACAGGAAUCAAUUCAUUUCAGGUGAAUGUGCUUAGCUUCCUUCAGUAGUUUUGAACAAAGGCUUAAAUAGAGGACUAAAGGAGCUAUGUUGCUUAGCUACAGUAAGUGGAUAAAAUAAAUAGAAAACAGGAUGGGGAACUUUCUGCACUAGCCAAUGAGAAAGGGGAACCAUGCGGAGAGUAGUGCUUACCCAGUCUAGGGAGAAGAGCUCAAUUCUCCUCUGCUUUUAACAGAGAAAGUGGAGCUGUGUUCUCUCAAACUCCUAGCUACCAUCUCUACAUAUGGGAUAAAAACAGAGAAAUGGUAGGAUCUAGAUCAUCUUUACAUUCAAGAUCAUGUAAAGCUGAAGUCAGAGAAAUAAAAAAGCAGAUACGUUUAUGGAAGAGAAAGAUCAUUACAUAUUUUAUUACUUAUUUUAUCAUCAGCUAAAAUAUUUGUUUUUUAGCCAGUGUUUUAUUAGAUUUAUCAUCCUCCAAUACAUUUUAUAAGAACCACAGGUGACCAAGCAGGAGUUUUAAAAUUAAUUUUUACAAGAGAUAAAUUAUGACUUUUGAACACUUUUCAUAUAACAAUUUAGCAUGUAAUUAUGGAGAUGAUAUAUGUUAAUUCUAAAUAUGGCAUGUUGCAGUAUUGAUAUUUCUAAAUUUUACAUACAAAGAUUUCAGAUUUUAUACAUUUUCUUUUUACCAAAGAAAUACAGACCUUAGUAUCUUUCAGAUAAUGUUAAGCAAACAUAUUAAUAACUGCUUCAGUGUUAACUUAAUUCUAAUUUAUGGAGAAGUAUUUACUCAAACCACUAGAGCUCAGCUUAAAAUAAAUGGUUUCUUACUUACUAGAUAAAAAGCCCUGGUAUAUUAUUAACAGCAGCCUGAUAUAUAGUAUAUAAGUUAGACUUAACUAUAUGUAUAUAUAGUAGAUCCCUCUAUUGCAGAUGCCUUAAUGUUUAUGAUUAAGCAGUUUUAAAAUAUAUUAUUCAAUAAAUUAGUUUACAUCAGUUCAUGUUUUUAAAGUUUUUUCACAACCAUGAAGACUACAAAACAAACAAUUUUUAAAAUGGAAGCUUCUGGAGCAUAAUUCUGUGGCUGGGGUAGAUUCCACAGAACUUUUAUAGCUACAGAAUCACAGAAUACACAGGGGCCUGAGUAGGGCUGAUUUGAUAUAGGGAAAUACAGUUAGACAUACUACAUACUUCAUAUGAACAGCUGAGAAUAUAUCAGAAAAAAAUGGUUUACAUGAAAAUGUGCAUCAUUUAGAUAUACACCUCUAGACAAUGUUUAAAUACCUCCAAAUAUGGAAGUGCUUGUUGUACCACCAGAUAGAAGGGCAUUAAAUUAAGGAACUAAGACUUGUAGGUAAAACUGGCCAGGAAUUUUUUGUCAAAAAUAUCUUUUUGAUGGCAAAAUGCAGAAUCUGCAAAAUCAUAGGAAAAUUUCAACUUUGAUUAAUUUUUUUGAUUUUCCAUCUGGAAAACCAAAACAUCUCCCAGAAACGGUAACAUUAAUAUCAGCAACAUUAAGACAGAAUAAUUUCCCAAAUGUAUACAAUGUGUGACAGUUAGUUAUGUGGAUACAAAAGUGUCUGGGAUUGCUGUGAAGAUUUUGCACUUGAGUGCCAGGGUGAUGAAGUUGUGGUAUGUAUUGCUUUUGGUAUCUGUUGGAGGUGUGAAAGCAUUAUGGUAUGUUGGAGUGUGUUAUUACUGUGAUGUAGGCAAUAUAAAAGUGGCAAGGAGGCUUUUUCCUUAAUUUGUUAUUUCCAACUUUUUCAGAUUUUGAGUUGGUGGGCGUGUCCUGAUGCAACCUUUACUGUCGCCAAACAAGUUUUGUGCAAUUCAUAUAAUAUUCACCUUCUGAAUGAAGGAUCUUACUUUCCUUUCCACAAAGGUACACACACACACAGGAUACAAUACCAUGCAUCUGUAAAAUUUUCCGUAAAAGGAGAUCACUUACCUAUAACCGGAAGUUCUUUAACAUGUGUGGUCCCCUAUCUGCAUUCCAUAUGUGGGUACGUAUGCACACCAUGCGCCUGAGGCUGGAAAAAUCCUGCAAGUAGCGUAGAUUGGUCCGCAGCUGCGCCCUGGAUCUCCUUGUGCUUGGCAUUGCAGUAUAAGGGGAGAUGUAAACCAACCGUCUCUUCAGUUCCUUCUGUACCAUGAAUCCAGUCACAAUCCGUAGCAGAGGGGAAGGCAUGUGGGUAGUGAAAUAGUUUGAACAGUCUCCAAACAUGAACGCUCUAGGUCUGAUGCCCAUCCAAAUACCAAGCCAUGAGGUGAAGAGGGUCUGGGCUGGGGUGCUUGAUCCUGCUAUUCUCUGGAGUUAGCAGGUCCAGGAAGGACUGAAUGCUAUGGGUUGACAUUCGUAGGAGGACCAGAAACCACAACUGUCUGGGACAACUUGUUGUGAUGAGAAUGGCUCAUGCUUUGUCAUGAUGCAUUUUCUUAGAACCUGGGGUAGUAGUUGGAUGCGAGGGAAAGAGUAUCUCAAGAAGCUUGUCCAGGACAGUAGGAGGGCACUUUUUGUUCACCUGGGAGGUGAACAGGUCCCAGGAUGGCAUUCCUCACUGACUGAAGAUGUUCAGCACUGAAUUGUGUAACAGCCACUCAUUAGUGGUGAAAUUGUAAUGUAGUUCUAUAUACACCAGUUCCAUAAGCUGACCACCUCCCCACACAGCGAGAGGGAUUUUUGCCCCUCCCUGUUUGUUUAUAUAGAAGACGGUCAUCACGUUGUCUGACAUUAUCUGGACAAUGGCAGGAUCAUAUGAAUGGGAGGAAUGCACUGCAGGCCUGUCUGACUGCUCUUAGUUCCAGGAGAUUGAUAUGCAUCUUGCUCUCUCCCUAGGUGUCCACAUAUCUUGUGUUGGAUGACCAAACAUGUGGGCUUCCCAGCCUAUGAGGGAUGCCUCAGUGAUUAUUGUCAUGUCAGGUGACAGGUCAGGUGGGAGGUAAGAAGAGAACUCCAAUGCACAUGUGUUCCAGGCUCAUCUACCAGGUGCCUCCUCAGCCAGAGCUUUUGUCCCUCUUGGGUCUGGAGUUGGAAAGAGCAACACAUACUGCACUUGGAGGAGAUAUGAGCCUCUUUAGGCAGGCUGGUGGUCACUGAUAACUGAGAAGAAGCAAGGACAGGAGACAGUUCUUGAACCCUGGAAUACUGGAGAUAAAGACGAUGAGAAGAUAAUUCCAGACACAGAGGAGUUCAAAUGAGAUCAUGCAGCAGCAAGAAGGACCUGAAGAGGCAGUUGGUCCACACCUCCCCUUAUAUCCUCAGGGCUGAGCAUGAGGACAAAGAACUCAAAACCCUUACCAUUUGCCUUGAUGAUUUAUAAACUGUUGAACUGCAUAUCCAAACAGCUCACUUGAAGGACCAGAAAACGAUUUUGCUUCUGGGAGCCCAACGUUGUAUGCGUCACAGC
Chelonia mydas (Green sea turtle) is the source of this 5226-nucleotide long non-coding RNA. RefSeq lists it as uncharacterized. The record is from RefSeq and is a predicted model, not a curated record. NCBI's taxonomy places the organism in Eukaryota, Metazoa, Chordata, Testudines, Cheloniidae. The transcript is spliced from 3 exons.